This 480-nucleotide ribosomal RNA is filed under the name uncultured bacterium. RNAcentral describes it as "partial 16S ribosomal RNA". It matches the Rfam family "Bacterial small subunit ribosomal RNA", at positions 30 to 503 of the family's 1533-position model. The record is from RNAcentral.
AUUGAACGCUGGCGGCAGGCCUAACACAUGCAAGUCGAGCGGAUGAAGGGGGCUUGCUCCUGGAUUCAGCGGCGGACGGGUGAGUAAUGCCUAGGAAUCUGCCUGGUAGUGGGGGAUAACGUCCGGAAACGGGCGCUAAUACCGCAUACGUCCUGAGGGAGAAAGUGGGGGAUCUUCGGACCUCACGCUAUCAGAUGAGCCUAGGUCGGAUUAGCUAGUUGGUGGGGUAAAGGCCUACCAAGGCGACGAUCCGUAACUGGUCUGAGAGGAUGAUCAGUCACACUGGAACUGAGACACGGUCCAGACUCCUACGGGAGGCAGCAGUGGGGAAUAUUGGACAAUGGGCGAAAGCCUGAUCCAGCCAUGCCGCGUGUGUGAAGAAGGUCUUCGGAUUGUAAAGCACUUUAAGUUGGGAGGAAGGGCAGUAAGUUAAUACCUUGCUGUUUUGACGUUACCAACAGAAUAAGCACCGGCUAACUU